This 254-nucleotide ribosomal RNA is filed under the name uncultured bacterium. RNAcentral's name for it is "partial 16S ribosomal RNA". It matches the Rfam family "Bacterial small subunit ribosomal RNA", at positions 524 to 776 of the family's 1533-position model. The record is from RNAcentral.
UACGUAGGGUGCGAGCGUUGUCCGGAUUUAUUGGGCGUAAAGAGCUCGUAGGCGGUUUGUCGCGUCGGCCGUGAAAUCUCCACGCUUAGCGUGGAGCGUGCGGUCGAUACGGGCAUCACUGGAGUUCGGCAGGGGAGACUGGAAUUCCUGGUGUAGCGGUGAAAUGCGCAGAUAUCAGGAGGAACACCGGUGGCGAAGGCGGGUCUCUGGGCCGAUACUGACGCUGAGGAGCGAAAGCGUGGGGAGCAAACAGG